Megalobrama amblycephala (Wuchang bream) is the source of this 345-nucleotide long non-coding RNA. RefSeq lists it as uncharacterized. The record is from RefSeq and is a predicted model, not a curated record. The transcript has 6 exons. Lineage: Eukaryota; Metazoa; Chordata; Actinopteri; Cypriniformes; Xenocyprididae.
CGUCAUGUUUCUGGCAGGGAGAGCGAGGACCACCAGGGCUGAAUGGAACUCAGGGGCACAUCGGUUACCCUGGAAACAGAGGAAUCAAGGGCCAGCAAGGCUACAAUGGAAAUAAAGGAGCAGAUGGGGAGGAUGGGCUGGAUGGAAUGGAUGGAGAACAGGGCGAUGCUGGUCUACCUGGGCUUCCAGGACCUAAAGGAGACCCGGGCAGUGCUGGUGUGAAGGGUUUCAAAGGGAGUCCUGGAACUAAGGGACACAGCGGUCUGAGAGGAGAUCCUGGCACACCAGGAAUAGACAACAAUUUUCCAGGUCCAAAAGGCGAGAGAGGAGAUACUGGACUCCCGG